This 253-nucleotide ribosomal RNA is filed under the name uncultured bacterium. Its description in RNAcentral is "partial 16S ribosomal RNA". It matches the Rfam family "Bacterial small subunit ribosomal RNA", at positions 524 to 776 of the family's 1533-position model. The record is from RNAcentral.
UACGUAGGGUGCGAGCGUUAAUCGGAAUUACUGGGCGUAAAGCGUGCGCAGGCGGUUAUGUAAGACAGGUGUGAAAUCCCCGGGCUUAACCUGGGAACUGCAUUUGUGACUGCAUAGCUAGAGUACGGUAGAGGGGGAUGGAAUUCCGCGUGUAGCAGUGAAAUGCGUAGAUAUGCGAAGGAACACCGAUGGCGAAGGCAAUCCCCUGGACCUGUACUGACGCUCAUGCACGAAAGCGUGGGGAGCAAACAGG